Molecule: ribosomal RNA, 220 nt
Filed under: Bradyrhizobium sp.
Lineage: Bacteria; Pseudomonadati; Pseudomonadota; Alphaproteobacteria; Hyphomicrobiales; Nitrobacteraceae
Description: partial 16S ribosomal RNA
Rfam family: Bacterial small subunit ribosomal RNA
Source: RNAcentral
UGUCGUGAGAUGUUGGGUUAAGUCCCGCAACGAGCGCAACCCCCGUCCUUAGUUGCUACCAUUUAGUUGAGCACUCUAAGGAGACUGCCGGUGAUAAGCCGCGAGGAAGGUGGGGAUGACGUCAAGUCCUCAUGGCCCUUACGGGCUGGGCUACACACGUGCUACAAUGGCGGUGACAAUGGGAUGCUAAGGGGCGACCCUUCGCAAAUCUCAAAAAGCC